RNAcentral lists this ribosomal RNA (253 nucleotides) under uncultured bacterium. Its description in RNAcentral is "partial 16S ribosomal RNA". It matches the Rfam family "Bacterial small subunit ribosomal RNA", at positions 524 to 776 of the family's 1533-position model. RNAcentral also lists the same sequence under 1 other name. The record is from RNAcentral.
UACGUAGGGUCCGAGCGUUGUCCGGAGUUACUGGGCGUAAAGCGCGCGCAGGCGGCGGUAUAAGCAUGGCGUGAAAGCCCCAGGCUCAACCUGGGAGGGUCGUCGUGGACUGUACCGCUUGAGGGCGGUAGGGGCUGGUGGAAUGCCUGGUGUAGUGGUGAAAUGCGUAGAGAUCAGGCGGAACACCCGUGGCGAAGGCGGCCAGCUGGGCCGUCCCUGACGCUGAGGCGCGAAGGCGUGGGGAGCGAACGGG